AUACGUAGGGGGCGAGCGUUGUCCGGAAUUACUGGGUGUAAAGGGCGUGUAGGCGGGGAUACAAGUUACCGGUAAAACCCCGAGGCUCAACCACGGGCUUGCCGAUAAAACUGUAUCUCUUGAGUGUAGGAGAGGGAAGUGGAAUUCCCGGAGUAGCGGUGAAAUGCGUAGAUACCGGGAGGAACACCAGUGGCGAAGGCGGCUUCCUGGCCUAUCACUGACGCUGAGGCGCGAAAGCUAGGGGAGCGAACGGGAUUAGAUACCCCGGUAGUCCUAGCCGUAAACGAUGGUCACUAGGUGUGGGUGGUGGUCAAGCCAUCCGUGCCGGAGCUAACGCAAUAAGUGACCCACCUGGGGAGUACGGCCGCAAGGUUGAA
This 377-nucleotide ribosomal RNA is filed under the name uncultured bacterium. RNAcentral describes it as "bacterial SSU rRNA". It matches the Rfam family "Bacterial small subunit ribosomal RNA", at positions 523 to 898 of the family's 1533-position model. The record is from RNAcentral.